GAUAACCAAUCCUCCCAAUUGGAGUCCGCUGAAUGCCCAGAGCAGCUUCAACUUCAGACUGUAGAAGAUACUGAAAGAAUAAAGAGACCUGACAGUUCUUCAGAUCGGAUCAUCACUCGGAGUUCUGUGUCUUCCGAACAACAGUUCUCUGAUUCUCAUGUUUCACAUCCUCCAUGCAGUGAAACUUUACAGUCACCUACCCCACUAGCAGUGAAACUUUGCAGUCACCUGCCCAACGAGCUGAUACUAGUUUUGGGGCUCCUGCAUCACAAAUAUUGCCGGACAGUCUGUUAGAGGAGGCCGACAGUGAGGCCCUCUCACAUUCACCUGUAAUUGAGGUGGAUAACCAAUCCUCCCACUUGGAGUCUGCUGAAUGCCCAGAGCAGCUUCAACUUCAGACUGUAGAAGAUACUGAAAGAAUAAAGAGACCUGACAGUUCUUCAGAUCGGAUCAUCACUCGGAGUUCUGUGUCUUCCGAACAACAGUUCUCUGAUUCUCAUGUUUCACAUCCUCCAUGCAGUGAAACUUUACAGUCACCUACCCAACUAGCUGAUACUAGUUUUGGGGCUCCUGCUUCACAAAUAUUGCCGGACAGUCUGUUAGAGGAGGCCGACAGUGAGGACCUCUCACAUUCACCUGUAAAUGAUGUGGAUAACCAAUGCUCCCAAUUGGAAUCCGUUGAAUGCCAAGAGCAGAUUCAACCUCAGACUAUAGAAGAUACUGAAAGAAUGACGAGACCUGACAGUUCUUCAGAUGGGAUCAUCACUUGGAGUUCUUUGUCUUUCGAACAACAGUGCUCUGAUAGUUAUGUUUCACAUCCUCCAUACAGUGAAACUCUGCAGUCACUUACCCAACUAGCUGGUACUAGUUUUGGGGCUCAUGCGUCAUCACAAAUAUUGCUGGAUGGUCUGUUAGAGGAGGCCGACUGUGAGGACCUCUCACAUUCACCUGUAAAUGAUGUGGAUAACCACUGCUCCCAAUUGGAGUCUGUUGAAUGCCCUGAGCAGCUUCAACCUCAGACUGGUCCUUUGGAUGAUGCUUAUAAAAC
RNAcentral lists this long non-coding RNA (1048 nucleotides) under Hordeum vulgare. RNAcentral's name for it is "long non-coding RNA (HVUL_LNC013379)". The record is from RNAcentral. Lineage: Eukaryota; Viridiplantae; Streptophyta; Magnoliopsida; Poales; Poaceae.